CCACCUAUGUCUAACUUUGAUAAGAAGUAAAGAACUUCUGAUGUGUUGCAAGUGGUUUGUCUUGUGGAGGCGCUUUGGGUACUACUUCUUACCAAGCUUGGGCAAAGAAGAUCGUUGGAAUUGGUCUCUUGGCGUCUGAUAGGCUGAACCUCCGGCUGAAUAAGGACAAACGUUUAGUUAUGCGUUUUUUUCUCCUACUGAAUGACAAGCCAGAUGCUGCUUAAGUGGCUGGAAACGAGCUUCUCUAAGGCUUUUAGCCGCCGCUACAUCGUGUAUCUCGUAAUGCCAGACGUGUAGAACGUAAUCCGAGUUUAUAAGCUUCUGUUUGGAGUUUAUUUGUUUUCUCACUGUUCAUUUUUCCAACAUUUCCUUCACUAUUUACAAGAAACUCAUGUCACAAUGACGACAAUUCCCACGCGAGAUGUCACAAGGCGCGCGCCACGUGCCACGGAGGCGGAGUUCCGUCAAAAGAGGUAAAAAACAUACACACACACGUGCGAAGUAGAAGGGAAAUAAAAGCAGCUGAUGCUAUUCUGUGGAGUUUCAACUGUUGGUCAUUCAAGAAACUACCGGUUGUUUCCAAGUCAGAAACACUGUUCAGCUGAGUAGUAAGCCUCCUGUCUGGUGACACUCGUCACGGCUUACUUGUGUCAGGGUUUUUCUCUAAUAAUAAAUGUGUUAGCAGCAACCAUGAUACCAACCACAAUUUUCACAGUUUUUCCGUUUCUUCUUGUAACAGCUGACUGUUCCAGUUGGAUAUGUUUCAACGGAGGACGUUGUAUCGGGCGAGAGCGCAACGGAUACGGCUACCACUGCUUCUGCCCCGCCGGCUUCCAAGGUCCCCGCUGUCAAUAUGUUUCCUAACUCGAGUCUACACCAGCUCUAUAAAGACGUGUCUGUGUGACUCCGGCCAGGCUCUGUUCGAUUGGUCAGUAGGAAGAAAUACGUUGACGAAGAAUUAAAGAAAGCCGGGUCAUUCUCGAGGCUCAUUCUCUCUCUCUUCUCAACAAAGACGGACAAUAAAAAAAUAGUUUGCCAGUUUUUGUACAGUCCGCGAGAGCAGAAUGUUUCACAUGAUGCUGUUUUCGAUUUGUCAUCUUAUGUCAGCUCAUUCUGAAGAACCCCGGGAUCACUUAUGGCAACUUGGAUAUGCAAAUCGAAUUUACUCAGUAUCCCUGUAGAGUUUCAUGUUUCUUUCUGAAUAGUCUGGAUAUUUUCCCAUAAUUGGCUACAGAGCUUAACUUUUUGAAUGAGCUACGUCAGGGCUGUAGUUGCGAUUUGAAAUGUAGACGUCUCUCUGUAACUUGAAUAUUUAUAUCGAAUUCAUUAAAGACCUUCACAAGGUUGUGUAUUAAUUUUAUUAUAA
Molecule: long non-coding RNA, 1366 nt
Organism: Limulus polyphemus (Atlantic horseshoe crab)
Lineage: Eukaryota; Metazoa; Arthropoda; Merostomata; Xiphosura; Limulidae
Exons: 2
Source: RefSeq, a predicted model, not a curated record